AACGAACGCUGGCGGCAGGCCUAACACAUGCAAGUCGAGCGCGCCUUCGGGUGAGCGGCGGACGGGUGAGUAACGCGUGGGAAUAUGCCCUUCUCUACGGAAUAGUCCUGGGAAACUGGGGGUAAUACCGUAUACGCCCUUUGGGGGAAAGAUUUAUCGGGGAAGGAUUAGCCCGCGUUGGAUUAGGUAGUUGGUGGGGUAAUGGCCUACCAAGCCGACGAUCCAUAGCUGGUUUGAGAGGAUGAUCAGCCACACUGGGACUGAGACACGGCCCAGACUCCUACGGGAGGCAGCAGUGGGGAAUCGUAGACAAUGGGGGCAACCAUGAUCUAGCCAUGCCGCGUGAGUGAUGAAGGCCGUAGGGUUGUAAAGCUCUUUCAGCUGGGAAGAUAAUGACGGUACCAGCAGAAGAAGCCCCGGCUAACUCCGUG
RNAcentral lists this ribosomal RNA (431 nucleotides) under uncultured bacterium. Its description in RNAcentral is "partial 16S ribosomal RNA". It matches the Rfam family "Bacterial small subunit ribosomal RNA", at positions 29 to 507 of the family's 1533-position model. The record is from RNAcentral.